RNAcentral lists this microRNA precursor (125 nucleotides) under Hordeum vulgare. RNAcentral's name for it is "microRNA MIR1122". It matches the Rfam family "MIR1120/MIR1122 microRNA precursor family". The record is from RNAcentral. Lineage: Eukaryota; Viridiplantae; Streptophyta; Magnoliopsida; Poales; Poaceae.
CACCUACUCCCUCCGUCCGAAAAUACUUGUCCGAAAGAUGAAUGUAUGUAGGCAUAUUUUAGUUCUACAUACAUCCAUUUAUAUUCAUUUCUGAGACAAGUAAUUCCAGACGGAAGGAGUAUAAA